GAGUACGACCGCAAGGUUGAAACUCAAAGGAAUGACGGGGGCCCGCACAAGCGGUGGAGCAUGUGGUUUAAUUCGAAGCAACGCGAAGAACCUUACCAGGUCUUGACAUCCUUUGACCACUCUAGAGAUAGAGCUUUCCCUUCGGGGACAAAGUGACAGGUGGUGCAUGGUUGUCGUCAGCUCGUGUCGUGAGAUGUUGGGUUAAGUCCCGCAACGAGCGCAACCCUUAUUGUUAGUUGCCAUCAUUCAGUUGGGCACUCUAGCGAAACUGCCGGUGACAAACCGGAGGAAGGUGGGGAUGACGUCAAAUCAUCAUGCCCCUUAUGACCUGGGCUACACACGUGCUACAAUGGACAGUACAAUGAGCAGCGACACGGCGACGUGAAGCGAAUCUCAUAAAGCUGUUCUCAGUUCGGAUUGUAGGCUGCAACUCGCCUACAUGAAGCCGGAAUCGCUAGUAAUCGCGGAUCAGCACGCCGCGGUGAAUACGUUCCCGGGCCUUGUACACACCGCCCGUCACACCACGAAAGUUUGUAACACCCAAAGUCGGUGAGGUAACCUUCGGGAGCCAGCCGCCUAAGGUGGGAUAGAUGAUUGGGGUGAAGUCGUAACAAGGUAACCA
RNAcentral lists this ribosomal RNA (622 nucleotides) under uncultured Vagococcus sp. Its description in RNAcentral is "bacterial SSU rRNA". It matches the Rfam family "Bacterial small subunit ribosomal RNA", at positions 878 to 1502 of the family's 1533-position model. Lineage: Bacteria; Bacillati; Bacillota; Bacilli; Lactobacillales; Enterococcaceae. The record is from RNAcentral.